GAUGAACGCUGGCGGCGUGCUUAACACAUGCAAGUCGAGCGGAAGGGCGCGGCGUUUGUUUGUCUGUCGAUUGGCGAGGGGGUGUGUAACACGUGAGUAACCUGCCCUUGACUGUGGGAUAACUUCUGGGAAAUGGGGCUAAUACCGGAGAGGAUCUUCUGCUGCGUGGGGUUGGUUGGAAAGUGUCGGCGGUGGUGGAUCGACUCGCGGCUUAUCAGCUGGUUGGGUGGGUAGUUGCGGACCAGGCGUUUGACGGGUAGCCUGCCUGGGAGGGUGACCGGCCACCUUGGGCCUGCGAUAGGGCCCAGACUCGAACGGGCGGCAGCAGUCGGGAACCUUGCACAAUGGCGGGAAGCGUGAUGCGGAAACGCCGCGUGCGGAAUGCUGGCCUUCGGGUUGUAAACAGAUUUCGACUGUGCCGAAGCGUGAGUGACGGUACUGGGUCAAGAAGCCACGGCUAACUACGUG
Molecule: ribosomal RNA, 468 nt
Filed under: uncultured bacterium
Lineage: Bacteria
Description: partial 16S ribosomal RNA
Rfam family: Bacterial small subunit ribosomal RNA
Source: RNAcentral